Sarcophilus harrisii (Tasmanian devil) is the source of this 4701-nucleotide long non-coding RNA. The record is from Ensembl. NCBI's taxonomy places the organism in Eukaryota, Metazoa, Chordata, Mammalia, Dasyuromorphia, Dasyuridae.
AAUCUGACAGGUGUGUAGUGGUAUCUUAGAGUUGUCUUAAUUUGCAUUUCUCUGAUUAAUAAUGACUUGGAGCAUCUUUUCAUAUGACUAGAAAUAGUUUCAAUUUCUUCAUCUGAGAAUUGUCUGUUCAUAUCCUUUGACCAUUUUUCAAUUGGAGAAUGGCUUGAUUUUUUAUAAAUUAGAGUUAAUUCUCUAUAUAUUUUGGAAAUGAGGCCUUUAUCAGAACCUUUGACUGUAAAAAUAUUUUCCCAGUUUAUUGCUUCCCUUCUAAUCUUGUCUGCAUUAGUUUUGUUUGUACAAAAACUUUUCAGUUUGGAUAAUCGAAAUUUUCUAUUUUGUGAUCAGUAAUGAUCUCUAGUUCUGCUUUGGUCAUAAAGACCUUCCCCUUCCAUAGGUCUGAGAGGUAAACUAUCCUAUGUUCCUCUAAUUUAUUAAUAAUUUCAUUCUUUAUGCCUAGGUCAUGAACCCAUUUUGACCUUAUCUUGGUAUACGGCGUUAAGUAUGGAUCAAUGUCUAAUUUCUGCCAUAUUAGUUUCCAAUUUUCCCAGCAAUUUUUGUCAAACAGUAAGUUCUUAUCCCAAAAGCUGGGGUCUUUGGGUUUGUCAAAGACUAGGUUGCUAUAUUUGUUGACUGUUUUGUCCCUUGAACCUAACCUAUUCCACUGAUCAACUAAUCUAUUCCUUAGCCAAUACCAAAUGGUUUUGGUAAUUGCUGCUCUAUAAUAUAAUUUUAGAUCUGGUACAGCUAAGCCACCUUCAUUUGAUUUUUUUUCAUUAAUUCCCUUGAAAUUCUUGACCUUUUGUUUUUCCAUAUAAAUUUUGUUGUUAUUUUUUCUAGGUCGUUAAAAUAGUUUUUUGGGAGUCUGAUUGGUAUAGCUCUGAAUAAAUAGAUUAGUUUAGGUAAUAUUGUCAUCUUUAUCAUAUUUGCUCGCCCUAUCCAAGAGCAUUUAAUAUUUUCCCAAUUGGUUAGAUCACACUUAAUUUGUGUGAAAAGUGGUCUGUAAUUUUGCUCAUAAAGUUUCUGAUUUUCCCUUGGCAGAUAGAUUCCUAAAUAUUUUAUAUUAUCAGUAGUUACUUUAAAUGGAAUUUCUCUUUGUAACUCUGACUGUUGGAUUUUGUUAGUGAUAUAUAAAAUGCUGAUGACUUAUGGGGGUUUAUUUUAUAACCAGCAACUUUGCUAAAGUUGUGGAUUAUUUCUAAUAACUUUUUAGUAGAAUCUCUGGAGUUCUCUAAGUAUACCAUCAUAUCGUCAGCAAAGAGUGAUAAUUUGGUUUCCUCAUUGCCUAUUCUUAUUCCUUUAAUAUCUUUCUCAGUUCUUAUUGCCAAAGCUAGCAUUUCUAAUACAAUAUUAAAUAGUAACGGUGAUAGUGGGCAACCUUGUUUCACUCCAGAUCUUAUUGGGAAUGGUUGCAGUUUGUUUCCAUUACAUAUGAUGCUUACUGAUGGUUUUAAAUAGAUGCUGCUCAUUAUUUUAAGGAAAAGUCCAUUUAUUCCUAUACUCUCAAGUGUUUUUAAUAGGAAUGCAUGUUGGAUUUUGUCAAAUGCUUUUUCUGCAUCUAUUGAGAUGAUCAUAUGGUUUUUGUUAAUUUGGUUAUUCACAUGGCCCAUUAUAUUGAUAGUUUUCCUAAUAUUGAACCAGCCCUGCAUUCCUGGUAUAAAUCCUACUUGAUCAUAGUGUAUUAUCCUGGGGAUGAUUUUCUGUAGUCUUUUUGCUAAUAUCUUAUUUAAGAUUUUAGCAUCAAUAUUCAUUAGAGAUAAUUUUUUUUCUUUCUCUGUUUCCAACCUACCUGGUUUAGGUAUCAGUACCAUGUCUGUGUCAUAGAAGGAAUUUGGUAGGACUCCUUCAUUCCCUAUUUUAUCAAAUAAUUUAUAUAGCAUUGGGGCCAAUUGUUCUUUAAAUGUUUGGUAGAAUUCGCAUGUAAAUCCAUCUGGUCCUGGGGAUUUUUUCUUAGGGAAUUGUUUAAUUGCCUGUUCUAUUUCUUUUUCUGAAAUGGGACUAUUCAAGCAAUUUACUUCCUCCUCUGUUAGUCUGGGAAGUCUAUAUUUUUGGAAGUAGUCAUCCAUUUCACUUAGAUUAUCAAAUUUUUUGGCAUAAAGUUGAGCAAAAUAACUCCUUAUUAUUUCUCUAAUUUCCUCUUCAUUGGUGGAAAGUUCUCCCUUUUCAUUUUUAAGACUACUAAUUUCAUUUUGCUCCCUUCUUUUUCUAAUCAGAUUUACCAAAGGCUUAUCUAUUUUAUUGGCUUUUUCAUAGAACCAACUCUUAGUUUUAUUAAUUAGUUCAAUAGUUUUUUUACUUUCAAUAUUUUUAAUUUCUCCUUUUAAUUUUAGAAUUUCAAAUUUAGUAUUUGAUUGGGGGUUUUAAAUUUGGUCUUUUUUUAGUUUUUUUAGUUGCAAGCCCAAUUCAUUAAUCUUUUUUUUCUCUGUUUUCUUCAUGUUAGCCUCUAAGGAUAUAAAAUUCCCUCUUAUUAUCGCUUUGGCUGCAUCCCACAAAUUUUGUUAUGACGUCUCAUCAUUGUCAUUAUCUCUAGUGAAAUUAUUAAUUGUAUCUAUAAUUUGCUGCUUCACCCAAUCAUUCUUUAAGAUGAGAUUGUUUAGUUACCAAUUAAUUUUUGGUGUAUUUACCCCUAACUUUUUGUUGAAUGUAGUUUUUAUUGCAUCAUGAUCUGAAAAGAAAGCAUUUACUAUUUCUGCUUUCUUGCAUUUAAUUUUGAGGUCUUUAUGUCCUAAUAUAUGGUCAAUUUUUGAAUAGGUUCCAUGAAUUGCUGAGAAGAAAGUAUAUUCCUUUCUGUCUCCAUUAAAUUUUCUCCAAAGAUCUAACAUACCUAAUUUUUUCUAAUAUUCUAUUUACUUCUUUAAUUUCUUUCUUAUUUGUUUGGUGGUUUGAUUUGUCUAAUUCUGAGAGUGCAAGGUUGAGAUCUCCCACUAUUACAGUUUUGUUGUCUAUUUCUUCUUGCAACUCUCUUAACUUCUCCUUUAGGAAGUUGGAUGCCAUACCACUUGGUGCAUAUAUGUUUAAUAUUGAUAUUGCUUCGUUGUUUAUGCUACCCUUUAGCAGGAUGUAGUUUCCUACCUUAUCUCUUUUAAUUAGAUCAAUUUUUGCUUUUCCUUGAUAUGAGAUAAGAAUGGCUACCCCUGCUUUUUUGACUUCACCUGAAGCAUAAUAGAUUUUGCUCCAGCCUUUUACCUUUACUCUGUAUGUAUCUCCCUGCUUUAAAUGUGUUUCUUGUAAACAACAUAUUGUAGGGUUCUGACUUUUGAUCCAGUCUGCUAUCUGCCUCCUCUUUAUGGGGGAGUUCAUCCCAUUCACAUUUAGAAUUACUAAUUCUGUAUUUCCUGCCAUCCUAAUAACCCCAGAUUAUGCUUUACUUUUUCUUGCCUCCCCCAACCCUCUUUCCCCUUUUUGAACUUUUGUACCCACCCUUGUAUCACGAUGCUUACCCACUUUAGAAUCCCUCCCUCCCCCCAUUUGAAUCUUUUCCCCUUCCUUCCCUUAUUACUCUUUUUCUUUUCCCUUUUCCUCUCCCCCUUUUUUAAUGAGUUGAGAGACAAUUUUCUCUUAAAACAAAUGUCAAUUAUUUUCUCUUUGAGCCAACUCUGGUGAGAGUAAGAUUCACACAAUGUUCCUCCCCCUCUCUAAAUUCCCUCAGAUAUGAUAAGUUUCCUUUGUCUCUUAAUGGGAUGUGGUUUCCCUAUUUUUAUCCCUCCUUCCCACCUUAUUCUGCCACCAUCCCUUUUCCAUAUCUACUUCCCUUUUUUAUGUUAUAUCAAUAAAAUCAAAUUAUACAUGUAUUCUUUUUGUAUAUACACAACAGAAAUACAAUUCUCAAGAGUUCUUUUUACCUUUUCUGCAUCUCUUGAGUCCCAUGGUUGGAGAUCAGAUUUUUUGUUUAGUUCUGGUUUUUUCCUUAUAAACAAGUGGAAUUCAUUUGUUUCAUUAAAUGUCCAUCUUCUUCCCUGUAAGAAAAUGCUCAGCUUAGCUGGGUAGUUUAUUCUUGGCUGCAUUCCAAGUUCUUUUGCCUUUCGGAAUAUCAGAUUCCAGGCCCUUCGAUCCUUUAAUGUGGAGGCAGCCAGAUCUUGGGUGAUCCUUAUUGUGGCACCUCGGUAUUUAAAUUUUUUUUUUUUUUUUUUGGCUGCUUGUAAAAUUUUUCCUUAAUCUGAUAGUUCUGAAAUUUGGCCACAAUAUUCCUUGGGGUUUUUAUUUUAGGGUUUCUUUCAGAAGGUGUUCGAUGAAUUCUUUCAAUGCCUAUUUUACCUUCUGAUUCUAUUACAUCUGAGCAGUUCUCUUUGAAGAUUUCUUGUAAAAUAGUAUCUAGGCUCUUUUUUUCAUAAUUUUCGGAAAGUCCAAUAAUCCUCAGAUUAUCUCUACUAGAUCUAUUUUCCAAGUCUGUCGUUUUUGCAAGUAGAUAAUUCUUGGUUUUUUCCAGUUUGUCAUUUUUUUGUUUUUGCUUGACUGAUUCUUGCUGUCUCAAUGAAUCAUUAGUUCCUAUUUGUUCAGUUCUAAUUUUUAAAGAAUUAUUUUCUUCAUUAGCUUUUUUUACUUCUUUCUGUAUAUGUCCAAUUGAAUUUUUAAAUGUAUUGUUUUGCUCUGUGGAAUUUUUUUCCAUUUCACUAAUUUUUUUUUUUAGUGAAUUAUUUUCUUUUUCUAAUUCAGAGAUCCUACUUUCUUGUGAGUUCUUUGUCUUUUCCAAUUCACAAAUCCUAC